GACGAACGCUGGCGGCGUGCCUAAUACAUGCAAGUUGAGCGCUGAAGGUUGGUACUUGUACCAACUGGAUGAGCAGCGCACGGGUGAGUAACGCGUGGGGAAUCUGCCUUUGAGCGGGGGACAACAUUUGGAAACGAAUGCUAAUACCGCAUAAAAACUUUAAACACAAGUUUUAAGUUUGAAAGAUGCAAUUGCAUCACUCAAAGAUGAUCCCGCGUUGUAUUAGCUAGUUGGUGAGGUAAAGGCUCACCAAGGCGAUGAUACAUAGCCGACCUGAGAGGGUGAUCGGCCACAUUGGGACUGUGACACGGCCCAAACUCCUACGGGAGGCAGCAGUAGGGAAUCUUCGGCAAGGGGCGAAAGACUGAGCGAGCAACGCCGCGUGAGGGAAGAAGGUUUUCGGAUCGGAAAACUCUGUUGGUAGAGAAGAACGUUGGUGAGAGUGGAAAGCUCAUCAAGUGACGGUAACUACCCAGAAAGGGACGGCUAACUACGUG
This 497-nucleotide ribosomal RNA is filed under the name uncultured bacterium. Its description in RNAcentral is "partial 16S ribosomal RNA". It matches the Rfam family "Bacterial small subunit ribosomal RNA", at positions 28 to 507 of the family's 1533-position model. The record is from RNAcentral.